AGAGACAGCAGUAGCCACGGUAAUACGAAGGGGGCUAGCGUUGUUCGGAUUUACUGGGCGUAAAGCGCACGUAGGCGGAUCGAUCAGUCAGGGGUGAAAUCCUGGAGCUCAACUCCAGAACUGCCUUUGAUACUGUCGAUCUCGAGUCCGGAAGAGGUGAGUGGAACUCCUAGUGUAGAGGUGGAAUUCGUAGAUAUUAGGAAGAACACCAGUGGCGAAGGCGGCUCACUGGUCCGGUACUGACGCUGAGGUGCGAAAGCGUGGGGAGCAAACAGGAUUAGAUACCCCGGUAGUCCCUGUCUCUUAUAA
Molecule: ribosomal RNA, 309 nt
Filed under: uncultured bacterium
Lineage: Bacteria
Description: partial 16S ribosomal RNA
Rfam family: Bacterial small subunit ribosomal RNA
Source: RNAcentral